Molecule: ribosomal RNA, 1524 nt
Filed under: Triticum aestivum (bread wheat)
Lineage: Eukaryota; Viridiplantae; Streptophyta; Magnoliopsida; Poales; Poaceae
Description: partial small subunit ribosomal RNA
Source: RNAcentral
AUGGAUUCCCUGGCGACGUCCACGGCCCGGAGAUGGGCGCUCUGCUCCCUCCUCUGCCUCUGCCUCUUCUCCGCGGGCCUCCUCCUCGGCUCCCGCCCCUUCUUCUUCCCCGCGCUGCCGCCGCCGCCGUGGGAGCACUUCUCCAGGCUGCAGCAGCCCGCUCCCCGUCCUCCUCCUCUUCUUUUUCAUCAUCAUCACCAUCAUCAUGCUGCUGCCUACCAUUACCACGACGACUCCAUGGCGCCAGCGCCGGACGCCGGCCCCGGAGAUCUUGGCAGGGAGGAGGAGAAGCAAGACGAGGAGCCGGCAGCGUCAGCGCCCUCUCCCCCUCGUGCUGCUGCUGCUUACCAUGACCACGACGACUCCACGGCGCCCGCGCCGGUCGCCGGCUCCGGAGAUCUCCGCAGCGAGGAGGAGGGGCAAGAAGAGGAGCUGGCAGCAUCAGCGCCGGCGCCCGCGCCGGCAUCGGACGGCGACGGACAGGGGAGGGAGUGUGACCUGUUCGACGGGAGCUGGGUGCGCGACCCGGCGAGGUACCCGCUGUACGAGGCGGCGGAGUGCCCGUUCCUCAGCGACCAGGUGACCUGCCGGAGGAACGGCCGCCCGGACGCCGGCUACGAGCAGUGGCGGUGGCAGCCGAGGGGGUGCGGCGGCGCCGUCGGGAGGAUCGACGGCUCCGGGGCGCUGGAGCAGUGCCGGAACAGGCGGCUCGUGUUCGUGGGCGACUCGCUCAACAGGAACAUGUGGGAGUCGCUGGCCUGCAUCCUCUACACGGCGCUGCCCGACCGCUCGCGGGCGCGCGUCCACCACGCCAGCUCCGAGCACAAGAUCUUCCGCGCCAUGGAUUACAAUUGCUCGGUGGAGUUCUUCUGGAGCCCGUUCCUGGUGCAGCUUGAGACCAAGCCGGACCGGACCAAGGUGCUCAAGCUGGACCAGCUCCCAGCCAUGCUUCAGCAGGUGAUCGGGGCAGACGUCCUCGUCUUCAACACCGGCCACUGGUGGACGCACACCGGCAAGCUCAGGGCCUGGGACCACCUGGAGAGAAACGGGAUGCUGGUCAAGAUGGAAGGAGAGGAGGCAUUCAGCAGAGCACUGAGGACAUGGGCGAGAUGGGUGGAUCACAACGUGGACCAGACCAGAACCAGGGUCUUCUUCCGAAGCGUCUCGCCUGAACACAAAGGUGCAAACUGGUGCUACAAUCAGACGGCCCCCAUCGCCGCGGACGAAGCAGUCGUUCCAUGGUUCCCGAAGAGCAUGGUGUCCAUCGUCAAGGGGAGCAUACGGAGCAUGAGGACGCCCGCCGCAUAUCUCAACAUCACGCGUCUAUCCGAGCUGAGGAUCGACGCGCAUCCUUCGGUGUACUCCAUCAACAGGGAUGGGAAGCCUCUGACGCUGGAGCAACGGCGGCAGCCGGUCGUGUAUGCUGACUGCAGCCACUGGUGCCUGCCGGGGUUGCCUGAUACUUGGAAUGUGCUUUUGCUUGCUUCCUUGACGAGACAUCCUUCAUCUAAUGUACAGUUGUAG